CUUGUCUUUAUAUUAUUCUUCUUGUCGCUGAUAAGUGAGACCCAACCCAGCAUCAGAUGCACAAUCUGUAUAUAUCAGCAAUACCCGGUGUUUUGUUUUGUUUGUUGGUGUUUCAAUAUUGCUUUCCCCCUUAAUAUUUACCUUGGAGUUUGUUUCUUUUUACAAUUUACAUCUUAAAUUGCCUUUCUGUUUCAAUAUAUUUAAAAUUAAAUCUUGUAAAUAGAAAACAAAUCGCGGUUGCCAUGGGCACAGAUAUGUUGCUAGGGAGAAACAACAGUGAAUUUGGCAAAAAUGUGCAAUUAAUUAUGUAAUAUUUAAAUAGUGUACAAGUGUAAAGUUCACUACAUGCUAAACAGGUUCAAUUUCAAAUAUAGAUAUAUUUAAGCUGUAUAAUAAUCAUAUUUGAUGAGUUUAACUCCGCCAUUUUAGUGGUUGCUAGGCAACAGAAUAAACGAGCUAGACCCAAAAUUCGAUUAUUUUCAGAAGGUCUAUGGUAUAGACUUACAACAUGACAAAUUAAAUGAAAU
This 527-nucleotide long non-coding RNA is filed under the name Mytilus galloprovincialis (Mediterranean mussel). The record is from RNAcentral. Lineage: Eukaryota; Metazoa; Mollusca; Bivalvia; Mytilida; Mytilidae.